Molecule: unclassified non-coding RNA, 253 nt
Filed under: uncultured Caryophanales bacterium
Lineage: Bacteria; Bacillati; Bacillota; Bacilli; Caryophanales
Description: uncultured Bacillales bacterium contains 16S-23S intergenic spacer region
Rfam family: Bacterial small subunit ribosomal RNA
Source: RNAcentral
UACGUAGGUGGCAAGCGUUGUCCGGAAUUAUUGGGCGUAAAGCGCGCGCAUGUGGUCCUUUAAGUCUGAUGUGAAAGCCCACGGCUCAACCGUGGAGGGUCAUUGGAAACUGAGGGACUUGAGUGCAGAAGAGGAAAGUGGAAUUCCACGUGUAGCGGUGAAAUGCGUAGAGAUGUGGAGGAACACCAGUGGCGAAGGCGACUCUUUGGUCUAUAACUGACGCUGAGGCGCGAAAGCGUGGGGAGCAAACAGG